AGAAAGAAUAGUGGAACUGCUAAUUCCAUAUAUCCAUAGUUAACAAUAUGGCUUUCUU
Molecule: transfer RNA, 58 nt
Filed under: Ctenomys sociabilis (social tuco-tuco)
Lineage: Eukaryota; Metazoa; Chordata; Mammalia; Rodentia; Ctenomyidae
Description: tRNA-Ser
Source: RNAcentral